RNAcentral lists this ribosomal RNA (460 nucleotides) under uncultured bacterium. RNAcentral's name for it is "partial 16S ribosomal RNA". It matches the Rfam family "Bacterial small subunit ribosomal RNA", at positions 338 to 795 of the family's 1533-position model. The record is from RNAcentral.
CCUACGGGUGGCAGCAGUGAGGAAUAUUGGUCAAUGGGCGAGAGCCUGAACCAGCCAAGUCGCGUGAAGGAUGAAGGAUCUAUGGUUUGUAAACUUCUUUUAUAUGGGAGUAAAGUGAGGAACGUGUUCCUUUUUGUAUGUACCAUAUGAAUAAGCAUCGGCUAACUCCGUGCCAGCAGCCGCGGUAAUACGGAGGAUGCGAGCGUUAUACGGAUUUAUUGGGUUUAAAGGGUGCGUAGGUGGUGAAGUAAGUCAGCGGUGAAAGUUUGUGGCUAAAACAUAAAAUUGCCGUUGAAACUGGUUGACUUGAGUAUAUAUGAGGUAGGCGGAAUGCGGGGUGUAGCGGUGAAAUGCAUAGAUAUCACGCAGAACUCCGAUUGCGAAGGCAGCUUACUAAACUAUAACUGACACUGAAGCACGAAAGCGUGGGGAGCAAACAGGAUUAGAUACCCCGGUAGUC